This 465-nucleotide ribosomal RNA is filed under the name uncultured Klebsiella sp. RNAcentral's name for it is "bacterial SSU rRNA". It matches the Rfam family "Bacterial small subunit ribosomal RNA", at positions 338 to 795 of the family's 1533-position model. Lineage: Bacteria; Pseudomonadati; Pseudomonadota; Gammaproteobacteria; Enterobacterales; Enterobacteriaceae. The record is from RNAcentral.
CCUACGGGCGGCUGCAGUAGGGAAUAUUGCACAAUGGGCGCAAGCCUGAUGCAGCCAUGCCGCGUGUGUGAAGAAGGCCUUCGGGUUGUAAAGCACUUUCAGCGGGGAGGAAGGCGUUAAGGUUAAUAACCUUGUCGAUUGACGUUACCCGCAGAAGAAGCACCGGCUAACUCCGUGCCAGCAGCCGCGGUAAUACGGAGGGUGCAAGCGUUAAUCGGAAUUACUGGGCGUAAAGCGCACGCAGGCGGUCUGUCAAGUCGGAUGUGAAAUCCCCGGGCUCAACCUGGGAACUGCAUUCGAAACUGGCAGGCUAGAGUCUUGUAGAGGGGGGUAGAAUUCCAGGUGUAGCGGUGAAAUGCGUAGAGAUCUGGAGGAAUACCGGUGGCGAAGGCGGCCCCCUGGACAAAGACUGACGCUCAGGUGCGAAAGCGUGGGGAGCAAACAGGAUUAGAUACCCCGGUAGUC